RNAcentral lists this ribosomal RNA (2109 nucleotides) under Staphylococcus aureus DAR2018. RNAcentral's name for it is "bacterial LSU rRNA". It matches the Rfam family "Bacterial large subunit ribosomal RNA", at positions 3 to 2110 of the family's 2925-position model. The record is from RNAcentral. Lineage: Bacteria; Bacillati; Bacillota; Bacilli; Caryophanales; Staphylococcaceae.
UUAAGUUAUUAAGGGCGCACGGUGGAUGCCUUGGCACUAGAAGCCGAUGAAGGACGUUACUAACGACGAUAUGCUUUGGGGAGCUGUAAGUAAGCUUUGAUCCAGAGAUUUCCGAAUGGGGAAACCCAGCAUGAGUUAUGUCAUGUUAUCGAUAUGUGAAUACAUAGCAUAUCAGAAGGCACACCCGGAGAACUGAAACAUCUUAGUACCCGGAGGAAGAGAAAGAAAAUUCGAUUCCCUUAGUAGCGGCGAGCGAAACGGGAAGAGCCCAAACCAAAAAGCUUGCUUGUUGGGGUUGUAGGACACUCUAUACGGAGUUACAAAGGACGACAUUAGACGAAUCAUCUGGAAAGAUGAAUCAAAGAAGGUAAUAAUCCUGUAGUCGAAAAUGUUGUCUCUCUUGAGUGGAUCCUGAGUACGACGGAGCACGUGAAAUUCCGUCGGAAUCUGGGAGGACCAUCUCCUAAGGCUAAAUACUCUCUAGUGACCGAUAGUGAACCAGUACCGUGAGGGAAAGGUGAAAAGCACCCCGGAAGGAGAGUGAAAUAGAACCUGAAACCGUGUGCUUACAAGUAGUCAGAGCCCGUUAAUGGGUGAUGGCGUGCCUUUUGUAGAAUGAACCGGCGAGUUACGAUUUGAUGCAAGGUUAAGCAGUAAAUGUGGAGCCGUAGCGAAAGCGAGUCUGAAUAGGGCGUUUAGUAUUUGGUCGUAGACCCGAAACCAGGUGAUCUACCCUUGGUCAGGUUGAAGUUCAGGUAACACUGAAUGGAGGACCGAACCGACUUACGUUGAAAAGUGAGCGGAUGAACUGAGGGUAGCGGAGAAAUUCCAAUCGAACCUGGAGAUAGCUGGUUCUCUCCGAAAUAGCUUUAGGGCUAGCCUCAAGUGAUGAUUAUUGGAGGUAGAGCACUGUUUGGACGAGGGGCCCCUCUCGGGUUACCGAAUUCAGACAAACUCCGAAUGCCAAUUAAUUUAACUUGGGAGUCAGAACAUGGGUGAUAAGGUCCGUGUUCGAAAGGGAAACAGCCCAGACCACCAGCUAAGGUCCCAAAAUAUAUGUUAAGUGGAAAAGGAUGUGGCGUUGCCCAGACAACUAGGAUGUUGGCUUAGAAGCAGCCAUCAUUUAAAGAGUGCGUAAUAGCUCACUAGUCGAGUGACACUGCGCCGAAAAUGUACCGGGGCUAAACAUAUUACCGAAGCUGUGGAUUGUCCUUUGGACAAUGGUAGGAGAGCGUUCUAAGGGCGUUGAAGCAUGAUCGUAAGGACAUGUGGAGCGCUUAGAAGUGAGAAUGCCGGUGUGAGUAGCGAAAGACGGGUGAGAAUCCCGUCCACCGAUUGACUAAGGUUUCCAGAGGAAGGCUCGUCCGCUCUGGGUUAGUCGGGUCCUAAGCUGAGGCCGACAGGCGUAGGCGAUGGAUAACAGGUUGAUAUUCCUGUACCACCUAUAAUCGUUUUAAUCGAUGGGGGGACGCAGUAGGAUAGGCGAAGCGUGCGAUUGGAUUGCACGUCUAAGCAGUAAGGCUGAGUAUUAGGCAAAUCCGGUACUCGUUAAGGCUGAGCUGUGAUGGGGAGAAGACAUUGAGUCUUCGAGUCGUUGAUUUCACACUGCCGAGAAAAGCCUCUAGAUAGAAAAUAGGUGCCCGUACCGCAAACCGACACAGGUAGUCAAGAUGAGAAUUCUAAGGUGAGCGAGCGAACUCUCGUUAAGGAACUCGGCAAAAUGACCCCGUAACUUCGGGAGAAGGGGUGCUCUUUAGGGUUAACGCCCAGAAGAGCCGCAGUGAAUAGGCCCAAGCGACUGUUUAUCAAAAACACAGGUCUCUGCUAAACCGUAAGGUGAUGUAUAGGGGCUGACGCCUGCCCGGUGCUGGAAGGUUAAGAGGAGUGGUUAGCUUCUGCGAAGCUACGAAUCGAAGCCCCAGUAAACGGCGGCCGUAACUAUAACGGUCCUAAGGUAGCGAAAUUCCUUGUCGGGUAAGUUCCGACCCGCACGAAAGGCGUAACGAUUUGGGCACUGUCUCAACGAGAGACUCGGUGAAAUCAUAGUACCUGUGAAGAUGCAGGUUACCCGCGACAGGACGGAAAGACCCCGUGGAGCUUUACUGUAGC